Molecule: ribosomal RNA, 447 nt
Filed under: uncultured bacterium
Lineage: Bacteria
Description: partial 16S ribosomal RNA
Rfam family: Bacterial small subunit ribosomal RNA
Source: RNAcentral
AACGAACGCUGGCGGCAUGCCUAACACAUGCAAGUCGAACGAUGCCUUCGGGCAUAGUGGCGCACGGGUGCGUAACGCGUGGGAAUCUGCCCUUGGCUUCGGAAUAACAGUUAGAAAUGACUGCUAAUACCGGAUGAUGUCCCCCUGAGAGAUCUUGGGGACCAAAGAUUUAUCGGCCAGGGAUGAGCCCGCGUAGGAUUAGGUAGUUGGUGGGGUAAAGGCCUACCAAGCCGACGAUCCUUAGCUGGUCUGAGAGGAUGAUCAGCCACACUUGGACUGAGACACGGCCCAGACUCCUACGGGAGGCAGCAGUGGGGAAUAUUGGACAAUGGGGGGAACCCUGAUCCAGCAAUGCCGCGUGAGUGAUGAAGGCCUUAGGGUUGUAAAGCUCUUUUACCAGGGAUGAUAAUGACAGUACCUGGAGAAUAAGCUCCGGCUAACUCCGUG